GACGAACCGUGCGAACGUUAUUCGGAAUCACUGGGCUUAAAGCGCGUGUAGGCGGAUGGGAACGUCGGAUACUGAAAGCCCCCGGCUCAACCGGGGAAGUGGUUCCGAAACGACCUGUCUGGAGGGACGUAGGGGGACCUGGAACUUCCGGUGGAGCGGUGAAAUGCGUUGAGAUCGGAAGGAACGCCCGUGGCGAAAGCGAGGUCCUGGACGUCUGCUGACGCUGAGACGCGAAAGCUAGGGGAGCAAACGGG
Molecule: ribosomal RNA, 254 nt
Filed under: uncultured bacterium
Lineage: Bacteria
Description: partial 16S ribosomal RNA
Rfam family: Bacterial small subunit ribosomal RNA
Source: RNAcentral